This 225-nucleotide long non-coding RNA is filed under the name Salvia miltiorrhiza (redroot sage). RNAcentral's name for it is "long non-coding RNA (SMIL_LNC013163)". The record is from RNAcentral. Lineage: Eukaryota; Viridiplantae; Streptophyta; Magnoliopsida; Lamiales; Lamiaceae.
CAAGAUCUAAAUUUUCUUACUUAAGUUCGAAUUCGGUCCAGAUCUAUUGGAUCCAAAAAAAUGGGAUGUAGGUCUAGAUCCAUAAGAUUCACAAGGUCUCGGGUACAGACCCGAAUUCACAUUCUUUUCUCUUCUAAAAUAAAUUCUAAACUAACUAUACAUCAAAAUAAAAAUCAUAAUAAUUCUCUAAAUUUUCAACAAUCAUUCUAAACAAAUAAAUACACC